This is a non-coding RNA of Eublepharis macularius, 72 nucleotides long. The record is from the annotation of a RefSeq genome assembly. Lineage: Eukaryota; Metazoa; Chordata; Lepidosauria; Squamata; Eublepharidae.
GGAGUUGUGGCUCAGUGGCAGAGCAUCUGCUUUACAUGCAGAAGGUCUUAGGUUUAAGACCUGGCAUCUCCA